AACGAACGCUGGCGGCAUGCCUAACACAUGCAAGUCGAACGAGACCUUCGGGUUUAGUGGCGCACGGGUGCGUAACGCGUGGGAACCUGCCCUUAGGUUCGGAAUAACUCCCCGAAUGGGGUGCUAAUACCGGAUAAUGUCUCCGGACCAAAGAUUUAUCGCCUUUGGAUGGGCCUGCGUUGGAUUAGCUAGUUGGUAGGGUAAAAGCCUACCAAGGCGACGAUCCAUAGCUGGUUUGAGAGGAUGAUCAGCCACACUGGGACUGAGACACGGCCCAGACUACUACGGGAGGCAGCAGUGGGGAAUAUUGGACAAUGGGCGAAAGCCUGAUCCAGCAAUGCCGCGUGAGUGAUGAAGGCCUUAGGGUUGUACAGCUCUUUUACCCGGGAUGGUAAUGACAGUACCGGGAGAAUAAGCUCCGGCUAACUCCGUG
Molecule: ribosomal RNA, 433 nt
Filed under: uncultured bacterium
Lineage: Bacteria
Description: partial 16S ribosomal RNA
Rfam family: Bacterial small subunit ribosomal RNA
Source: RNAcentral